UCCUUGGUGGCUCAGAUGGUAAAGAAUCUGCUUGCAACGUGGGAGACCCAGGUUUGAUUCCUGGAUAGGGAA
This 72-nucleotide transfer RNA is filed under the name Ovis aries (sheep). It matches the Rfam family "tRNA". From Rfam's summary of the family: Transfer RNA (tRNA) molecules are approximately 80 nucleotides in length. Their secondary structure includes four short double-helical elements and three loops (D, anti-codon, and T loops). Lineage: Eukaryota; Metazoa; Chordata; Mammalia; Artiodactyla; Bovidae. The record is from Rfam by way of RNAcentral.